Molecule: RNA transcript, 3799 nt
Organism: Drosophila subpulchrella
Lineage: Eukaryota; Metazoa; Arthropoda; Insecta; Diptera; Drosophilidae
Exons: 4
Source: RefSeq, a predicted model, not a curated record
ACAUUGGUAUUUGUAAAAAGCAAACCGACGAGCGGAUAAGGCGAAAUACCUGAAAGGCAGCAGCGAAAAACACGAAAAGCCAGAAACAGCAACAGCAACCCAAACCAAAACCCCAAUCCAAACCCAAACCGAAACAACUCGAACUUCGUGCAGUGUGGCAAACUGAAAAAGAAACUGAAAAAACUGAAAAAAAAACACAGAAACAGAAACAUAAACCAGAAAAAGAAGCAAAUCGAAGCGUAAAUAAACAGAGAGAACUGGAGCGAAUGCCAAAAAAAUUAAAUAAAACCGAAAAAAAUACAAAAUAGAGUGAAAAACCACACACUCAGAGGGAUAUAAGAAAGAGGUUUUUUCCGGAAAACGCGCGGAAAAGUGCAUUUCAAUUUUUUUCGAGUGAAAGUUGGGGGCCCACGCCCACCCACGUCCACGCCCACGCCCACGCCCACAAUGAACCGUUCGAACAGCUUUGUGAGCUCGCUGAAAUGGUGGCCACUGCAGGGCCACAACAAUCAGCCGGCUGUGGCGCCACCUACCGGCGGCGGCGGCGGCGGCUACUCCCAGUCGGCGCCCAGCUCGCCCACCUCCAACUGGCCACCGCCACUGCAGCAGCACCAGAACCCCACCGCCCACCGGCUGAUGCCGCCCACCGCCCACCAGAAGGUCGCCGGCGGUGGCAUUGUGGGCGCCACCUUCGGCAGCAGCGUGGCCGUCCAGAAGCUGCGCGAAUCCAAGUGGUUCAAGCCCGAGGAGCAGCGCAUCUUCUGCGCCGUCGUCGAGUGCGGCUUCGUUGUAGAGAUCCGCAGCAGCGCCGCAGCAGAGGCGGCUGCGGCCAGUGCUGCCGCAGCGGCCGCAGCAGCCGCCUCCGGCGAUGCCGACAUCGACGUCGACGCCCUCGAGGAGCUCGACUGCCCCCUCACCGCCCAGCCCCUGACCCUGACCCCACCAAACCAAGCCCAAAAGCAAAACCAAUCCCAAUCCCACCCACAGCGGCUGGUCAUCCCGCGCAACGGUAGCAGCUUCCUGGAGACCCAGGACGAGAACGAGACGCCAGUCGCCUCCUGGUACGGCAUCGUACUCUGCAAGGUGGCCAAAGACAAUAAACCCAAGCCCGAGACCAUUGAGAUAUUUUCUGUGAAAAUACGUGAGAAUGGCACAUACAAACUAAUCAAGAUGCAACUGGCGGAUAUUUGGAACCAUGGAUGGGAGCUGCGCAUCAACAACUUUGCCGACAAGGAGAAGGUCCCCCACAACGAGAAGGACAUUCGCAAUCAGGUGUCGGUGGCGCGCAAGGCCAAGCAGAGUUUGUGGAACAACAACAAGCACUUCGUGUACUGGUGCCGCUACGGAAGUCGUCAGCAGGAUCUGCGGAAGCGACAGGUAACGACGAGUGCCAAUCACGUGCUCCUGCACCUGAUCAAUUGAUAAGCGGAGCCAGCCGGCGAAAGGCGAAAAGCGAAAGGCCCAGAGCAAGAACUUAAGAAAUUGAAAAGAAAUGCUAAUGAAAAGCCGACACAGAAACCAAAAUUUGCCACUCCCCCUCAGCAACCGCCUCCUUUUCCCGAUCCCCACUACCACCCACAUGCAUUGAUUGUUGUAGUUGCAGCAGCAAACAGCAAAUGAAACGAAUGAAAAACCUAAAAAAAAAAGCUAUGUAAAAACACAAAAACACACACACACACAAACCAUACACUGACCAAAACCAUACACUCAGAAUAAUGCAUGGACUAAAAACGUACUGAGGAAACCAGAAAAAAAGAACCAUUAACUUUUCUAGGGCCACACAAGAUAUAUAACCAUCAUCAUUCUGAAUCAUGCUUGCUUUGCUCAUAUAUAUAUAUAUAUAUUCGCCAAAAAAACAAAACAAAAAAAAAAGAGAUGCUAACCCCGAGAAUUUCCACAAUUUAACCAGUAGAAACUCCAAAAUGCAUCCACCCAUUCCCAGAACAUUUUGUAUGAUAAAAAGCGAUCAUCUUUCUACAGUACCGAAAGCAUUACUUUGUGUAUUACGCAUAUAUAUAGUUAUUAUAUAUGUAUAUAUUAUUUAUAUAUUUCUGUGAGACUGCAAACUGCCCAUUUAAUGUUGAUGUUUUAUGAUGUGCAACCAAAAAAAAACAUGGGCCUGAUUUUUGAUUUUCGAUUUCGUCAAGAGAGACUUUGCUUGACUUUCUUUUCUCAACCACUUUCAGUUAGAUUUUCCGGCUUCAAAGUCCCACAUACGUUGAGUUCUUGUAUUCAAAUGAAAAAACAAGCUUAAAGUCUGGGUGAACUGGAUUAUCUGGCGGAUUGGGCGUGUGAAAAAAGCGAAACAAACGAACUGUUGGCGAAAGUGAAGAUCGGAAGCGGGCCCAUGGGCCCAUGGGCGCCACACACACAGCAUACAGCACACCUCCUUGUUGUUUGUUAUCUUCUUCCGGCACUUUAAUCCCAGGGCCAGGCCUUCAUCGCCCAGAACCGAGACAUGUCGGAGUGCGUGAAAUGGGGCAGCGUGGGCAUGAAUGCGGGCAUGCUGUUGGUGCUCAAUAAUCGGCAGAAAUGCCAUUCCCACUCAAAGUAACAAGCUAACUAGUUACCUUCUUCAUUUUCCCCAUAACGAUUUAUAUAUAUGGAUAUAUAUAACUAUAUAUAUAUAUGAAAUAGCUUGCCUACUGCUAGAGCGUAGAAACCACAGAACGAUUUUAUACAGCAAACAAGUAUUAAAGCAAAUUCGGAUGAUAAGAUAAUUUAUGGCUUAAGAACGCCAAGGGCAGUGGAAAAAAACCAAAUGCAAAUAUACGUAUUAAGUGCAGAGAUAGCCAAGAAAAUUUAGAUCAGGGCGAGGGCUUUUUUGGCAGUAUUAAAUAAAAAAAAUUGAGGAAAUUUGUAUAAGAUUAAAAUCAAAAAUAAAGGCAGGGCGAAGCUGAGCAAAGCAAGAAACAUGGCCUAAAUUCAUACGUCACAAGAACACACUACACUCCCGCCCAAGUUUGUAGAGCUGUUGCAACUGGAGCUACAAUUUAUCAGAAUACUUUUGUAUUUACCAUUGUGUAUAUGACACAGAACGAGAGAGAGAGACACACACACACUGUGAAAUUCGAAAAGACUUAUUAAAUAUUUGUUUGUUUUUUUUUUUGUCCUAAUUUUUUGUUUUUCCAUGUGAUUAAAUACGUAUACAUUAUUAUAUAUUUAUAUACAUUGUGAAAAUGGCAAGCAUACAUGCAAGGCAACAUUUAUUGUUUUCUUCGUUAUUUAAGCGUAGUUAAGAGAUACCCGAAGAUAUCCCCAACCUAUAAAAAUGGGGCUAAAAUCAAGCGAACACUCUACGUAGCAAGCAUAAUAAUUUAUAGCAUUGUAAAACAAUCAAAACAUUCGAAAUGUUUCGUUAUGUAUUUAGCUAUUUAGCUCUACGCGACCGAAGACGACGACUCCGAACCGAAAAUUAGAAAAGAAAAAUGGAAUACCUAAGCAAAAAUGGCAGAUGCAGAUGCAGUUUUGCCGGAAAAUAUUUUUGUACAUAGGGAAACUGAAAACUGGACGCACUGUACGGAUACGGACUCUUGCAUACGUAAUCAAGAAAGAUACAAAAUUUACAAAAUUACAUUACAAAAAAAAAGGAAAUAUAAAAGUAAAGAACGCUAGUUCGUAAGCUAUAUAUACAUUAUUACUUAUUUUGUUUAAGUUUUGUCUUUUUUAAGCAAUUUAUAAAAUAUUUAUGGUAGUCUUAUAUACAUUUCGACAAUGUGAGGAAAUUUGAAUAUGAAACGUUUGUAAAAUGCUUUAUAUUGAUAUUAUUAUUAAAUGUUUACCAACGGAUUAAACAAUA